GGUUCUUUACAUAUUUGACAAUUGCGUCUUUUUCCUGCGAGUCAUUCAUGGACAACUCUAGACUACUUUUGAUUCUUCCAGAUUUGGGAAGUUUGGCAUCAUCCUUUUGUCUUCCUUUGGUUUGUGAGUUUACUGGAUCUCUAAUAGUUAAUUCAACCUCUUCGUUUGCUUGCUCUGGGAAUAACAUAUUUGGACAACUUGUCUCAGAAAGAAGUCCAUCCUUACUAGUUUGCAUUUCAGAAUUCAUCUUUAUUGCCUCUUUGUA
This 265-nucleotide long non-coding RNA is filed under the name Trifolium pratense (red clover). RNAcentral's name for it is "long non-coding RNA (TPRA_LNC003589)". The record is from RNAcentral. Lineage: Eukaryota; Viridiplantae; Streptophyta; Magnoliopsida; Fabales; Fabaceae.